This 339-nucleotide long non-coding RNA is filed under the name Brassica rapa (field mustard). Its description in RNAcentral is "long non-coding RNA (BRAP_LNC002813)". The record is from RNAcentral. Lineage: Eukaryota; Viridiplantae; Streptophyta; Magnoliopsida; Brassicales; Brassicaceae.
GAAAAUUGUUUUUUUAGAGCAAAAAAAUGGUAACUAUGUCCUUUUAUACUAAUCUAUACUACUUUAUGUCCCAUUAGACUAAUUUUUUUCAAAAUGGCAGUAAUGCCCUUAAAAUUGUAAUUUUUUAUUUCUUUUUCGUUUUUUUUUAUUUUUUUAUUUCUUUUUCGUUUUUUUUUUUUGUUUUUUUGUUCCUUUUUCGUUUUUUUAUUUUUUUUUAAAAAAAAUCGAUUUUUUUUUCAAAAUAUAAAAGUGAAUAUUCUCAAAUAUUUUGUUUCCAUAUUUUUAGGAACUGAUUUCUUAUCCGUAGAAUACAACUAAUAUGUAGAAAUCGGUUUCUAC